RNAcentral lists this ribosomal RNA (3414 nucleotides) under Triticum aestivum (bread wheat). Its description in RNAcentral is "partial small subunit ribosomal RNA". The record is from RNAcentral. Lineage: Eukaryota; Viridiplantae; Streptophyta; Magnoliopsida; Poales; Poaceae.
GCCAGUUAUUUCGCCACCCCGCCGAGGGCAUUUGCGGGAAUUCGCGUGUGUGACCGUGCGUGGCGUCGUGUGGGCGGUUGCAUUUGGCAUAGGAGUGAGGAGGGCCCCCGAUUGGGUGAAAACCCUAGCCCAUUCUCCCCGCCGCGCCCCUCUCCCCUUCUCUACCACAGCCGCCGCCGCCGCCAGCGCGGGCCGCGGACACGACGAGGAGGCGCAUCACCGCGCGCUGCCCGGCCAAGAUCUUCUCCCGCGUGCGCCACCUCCUCGCCAAGCCCUUCCCCUACGCGCGGCCCUCGCCGACUCGCUCUUCCUCGUCCAGGACGCCCGCGGCGCCGCCGCCGGCUGCGCUGACGGCGGCUAGGUCGGGGAUGUUAGGGAUGCGGCCGAGCAGCGCGGCAGCGUCAUGGGUGGCAUGCGGAUGCGCAUGGAGCCACGGACGCCGCCGUCCCCAACGACGCCCCAUCCCGGCGCUCCUCGACUCCCGCUUGGACGGCGACAAGUUCGAGCCGUGUCCGUCGACCCCGACGUCGCGCUCGCCUACAAGUUCCCCGAGGUCUCCUUCGCCUACGACGAGAGGUGCGGGCCUUAGCUCGACGGAACGGCUCUCCCGGUUGAUCCCAUCUGUCACGCCGUCUCCUUGCUCCGUGCAGGAACGUGGCGCUGUACGCGCUCGGCAUGGGGGCCUGCGGCGUCGAUGGCUAGGAGCUCCACCUCGUGCACCACAGCCAGCGCCGCAUCAAGAUUGCCACCAUAUUUGUGAGCCUUUUGGUACGUCACUCAUAAAAUAAAUAUAAUGGACUUGAGUGGUGGAUUGAGUAACUUCCGAAAUGGACCUUAUUAUCUUGGUUUCUCCUUUCACGACAUGAUGGUGUUGGAUGUGGCAUGACUUUGUGUAAGGCACUGAUGGUCUCUGAGGUGAGCUCUUUAUGUGAUUCUAACUGCACUCUGUCUCCCUGCGCAAGUAGAACUGCAAUUUAGUUGUUCUGAAUUUUGUGUGUUGUAGACUGGAAGUCAAGGUUCUGGUCGAUUUUUAUGUCUCUGAAUAUACUUAUACUUCAAAAUGCCGACCACUUUAUUUAGAUAUUGUGUCUUCCUCAUUAUUCUUCAGUAUUUCCUCUAUUUAGCUACAUGACAUUCUCUUCGCUGCUGCUUCUCUUACAGUCAUCUAGCUACCAUGUGACUUGGUUAACUGUAUUACUGCUUCUACACUGCCUACGGAUGAAGAAGUAAACAGAUGCAGUUUGUGUUGUUUCUCUAAUAAUCCUAAGGAAUUUUUAGGUUUCCCUUACUAAUGUUGUCAUGCCAUUGCCGACAUUCGAUCCGUUGCUCUCCUCACCAGUUAUGUGGUUAUCCAUUUGAUCUCUGCCAUUGCAGCUCUUUAUUUGGCAGGGAACUACAAAUUUCAUAUCUACCAUUUGGUGAUAGUAUUCACUUAAAUUACAUGCGCCGUCUAGGGUUUGAAGAGGAGAGAGAGAGAGAGAGAGAGAGAGGGAGAGGGAGGGAGAGGGAGGGAGAGAGGGAGAGGGAGCCUAGAUACAAAGCUCUAGACCAAGACAAAUCACUCGUGUGUGUCGGUGUUUGCCAAAAACCUGGUAUUUCUAUAUGGUUUGCCAUGGCAGGUGCCUUCACAGCAGUAGCCUUCAAGUAAGGAAUCAUCUGACUACAGUCUCGGUCCUUCGAGCUUAGUUAACUAAAGCAUCUUUUAUAUCAGAUAUCAAAUUAUCUAUACUUGUACUAAGAUAUAAUGUAUCUAACCAGAUUUUCACUUCUUUAAUGGAGUUUUUAGCACUCGGAUUUAUUUGAAAUAGCUGCUCCUAUAUUUUUGUCAGUGCUUGCUAUACUUUGUUUAAAUGUUUCUUCUUGGUAGGAUCAGUUUUAAAUAGUGGAUGUAAGCAUGCCUUUUCAAGCUUAAGCAUUUGAUUUUUGGUGAUAUGGUGUUCUCUCCUUACAGAUGACCUUCUGCUUUCUUAUUUUAAAAAAUAGACAAGUUGGAUGCAGUUGCCGCCACUCAUGUCGCUACAGGAGGAGUGCGCGCAGGGGGAGUGGCGGGUCAAGGUGCGCUCAUCGGUGCCGCUGCUGACCGGCAGAUCCAGGCGCACCCUCUCGGUGCACGCAGGGGGGGUGAUCUACGACGACCUCCUGGGCACGACACCGCUGGAGACGGUGAGAAACACGCACUCCGUCCACCAUUGGUCACCGGCAGUAGCAGGACGAACCGUCGCCGUAGCCGCCAGGCUGAACCAUAAGACGCCUCAACAGCGACCGACGAAGUUGUCGAGGCGAGGCGACGGCCUGGAGGUGAACUGCAGCGACAGCGUGAACUUGGCCGGCGACCGCAAGGACCCAUCCACGGGGUCCCUUCCUCUCUGAAAACGGCCUAAUUGCUGAUAUCUUGCCUCCCCUCUCCUUCUCCCUCUCUUAAUUUUCAAGCGAUUUCGGUAUGGUAUUACUGUUAGGUAACCCUACGAACUUUGUUGGAACCUAAAAAAUAGGUACUCUGAUGGAUUAGAGUGGUUCUGCCUGAAACAACUUCCAAUGGAUUGUUGAAUUAGCCAAUGUCAUAAUUAGUAAAUCUGUGCUGUUAUAUUCUGUAACGAGAUCACAUUAUGCCCAUGUUUAGAUGACACUGACCCAAGUUUACUUUGUGAUUCCCUUAAUUUCUCUACCUAAUUCUUGUGGCAUGCUUUCAUCAGUUUCAAUACGAUGAAGAUGACAGAUCCAACAUGGUAUCCUUUACGGAUGAACAGGAUUCAAGAUGCAUGUGUGCCACCCAGGCCACACAAAGAAGGCCCAAUGAUUUUUUGGAUAGGAUAAGUGCACUUCAGGCCACCCAAGGUCGAGCAUUCAGCAGUGAUGCCAGAGGAAUACCUUUGUGCGAGACUGCUCUCGGUUGAAAAUAUCCAAAGGUUGGUGCCUCAAGCGAAACUUAUCGCCCGUGAUUCUUUCCCUUUUGUUGCUAUCAAGUUUGAUCCAUCUGCUCCACGCAACCCCUUCUCUGGACAAGCGAUGGUUAUAGUCGUCAUGGACUCCGAUGAGAUUCUCGAUGAAGCGAUACCUGAGUGGUUGGAAUUGGCAAUCAUAUGCUUCCAGCGGUAUCACUCGCCAUGAUGAGCUCCACCAUUGGUUCUCACUCUGUGUACUUAUCAAGACUGCUAUCUAACUGUCACCAGCCUUUGUAUAAACGCCUUGCUUUUAGUAUUUUGUGAUGUUCGGCUGUCCUGUCCUGUAAUGUAACCAACUUACUCUAAUUAUUAAUAAUGGUAUUUCAACUUGUGGGAUGCAUUCAUUUCUAUAUAAAUGACUUGCUGUAAUCCUGAUCCAUCUUACUUUGUACUGCACUUAUAUUAUCUGUAUUGGUUUACAUACUCCCCUGAUAAAUACCAGGCGCUGGAUUAUUGGAUCACUACUUUAGAC